AGAGUUUGAUCCUGGCUCAGGAUGAAUGCUGGCGGCGUGCCUAACACAUGCAAGUCGAGCGGCAGCGAGUUUUACACUGAAUUCUGGAAGCUUCUGGGUAAUAUAGAAGGUCUAUUCAAGAAUUUUGUGUAAAAUGUCGGCGAGCGGCGGACGGCUGAGUAACGCGUAGGAAUUUGCCCCAAAGUGAGGAAUAACUGCCCGAAAAUAGCUGGUCUGAGAGGAUGAUCAGCCAGACUGGAACUGAGACACGGUCCAGACUCCUACGGGAGGCAGCAGUGAGGAAUCUUCCACAAUGGGCGAAAGCCUGAUGGAGCAACGCCGCGUGAAGGAUGAAGGCCUUCGGGUUGUAAACUUCUUUUAUGAGUGAAGAAUAUGACGGUAACUCAUGAAUAAGCACCGGCUAACUACGUGCCAGCAGCCGCGGUCAUACGUAGGGUGCAAGCAUUAUCCGGAGUGACUGGGCGUAAAGAGUUGCGUAGGCGGUUUAAUAAGUGAAUAGUGAAACCUGGUGGCUCAACCAUACAGACUAUUAUUCAAACUGUUAAACUCGAGAAUGGUAGAGGUAACUGGAAUUUCUAGUGUAGGAGUGAAAUCCGUAGAUAUUAGAAGGAACACCGAUGGCGUAGGCAGGUUACUGGGCCAUUUCUGACGCUAAGGCACGAAAGCGUGGGGAGCGAACCGGAUUAGAUACCCGGGUAGUCCACGCCGUAAACGAUGGAUACUAGCUGUUGGAGGUAUCGACCCCUUCAGUAGCGAAGCUAACGCGUUAAGUAUCCCGCCUGUGGAGUACGGCCGCAAGGCUAAAACAUAAAGGAAUUGACGGGGACCCGCACAAGCGGUGGAUUAUGUUCUUUAAUUCGAUGAUAACCGAAGAACCUUACCAGGGCUUGACAUCCAGGGAAGGUCUGCGAAAGUAGACUGUGCCUUUUGGAACCCUGUGACAGGUGAUGCAUGGCCGUCGUCAGCUCGUGUCGUGAGAUGUUAGGUUAAGUCCUUCAACGAGCGCAACCCUUGUGAAUAGUUGUAUUUUUCUAUUCAGACUGCCCCGGUAACGGGGAGGAAGGAGGGGAUGAUGUCAGGUCAGUAUUUCCCUUACGUCCUGGGCUAGAAACGUAAUACAAUGGCUAGUACAAUGCGCAGCGAAGCCGCGAGGUGAAGCAAAUCGCAUCAAAGCUAGUCCCAGUUCGGAUUGUAGGCUGAAACUCGCCUGCAU
Molecule: ribosomal RNA, 1213 nt
Filed under: human oral metagenome
Description: bacterial SSU rRNA
Rfam family: Bacterial small subunit ribosomal RNA
Source: RNAcentral